GAUGAAGAACGCAGCGAAAUGCGAUACUUGGUGUGAAUUGCAGAAUCCCGUGAACCAUCGAGUCUUUGAACGCAAGUUGCGCCCGAAGCCAUUAGGCCGAGGGCACGCCUGCCUGGGCGUCACACGUCGUUGCCCCCCCAUCUACUCCUUCGGGAUUGCGGGGGGCGGAUGAUGGCCUCCCGUGCGCCUCGUCGCGCGGUUGGCAUAAAUGCCAAGUCCUCGGCGACGCACGCCACGACAAUCGGUGGUUGCGAAACCUCGGUUGCCCGUCGUGUGCGGUCGACGCGCAUCGAGGGCUCGAAAAAAUUGCCGGGCUCCGGCUCGGCUUUCAACGCGACCCCAGGUCAGGCGGGGUUACCCGCUGAAUUUAAGCAUAUCAAUAAGCGGAGGA
RNAcentral lists this unclassified non-coding RNA (391 nucleotides) under soil metagenome. RNAcentral describes it as "partial contains 5.8S ribosomal RNA, internal transcribed spacer 2, and large subunit ribosomal RNA". The stretch from base 1 to 122 matches the Rfam family "5.8S ribosomal RNA", at positions 35 to 154 of the family's 154-position model. The record is from RNAcentral.